UACGUAGGUGGCAAGCGUUGUCCGGAAUUAUUGGGCGUAAAGCGCGCGCAGGCGGUUCUUUAAGUCUGAUGUGAAAGCCCACGGCUCAACCGUGGAGGGUCAUUGGAAACUGGGGAACUUGAGUACAGAAGAGGAAAGCGGAAUUCCACGUGUAGCGGUGAAAUGCGUAGAGAUGUGGAGGAACACCAGUGGCGAAGGCGGCUCACUGGUCCAUUACUGACGCUGAGGUGCGAAAGCGUGGGGAGCAAACAGG
RNAcentral lists this ribosomal RNA (253 nucleotides) under uncultured bacterium. Its description in RNAcentral is "partial 16S ribosomal RNA". It matches the Rfam family "Bacterial small subunit ribosomal RNA", at positions 524 to 776 of the family's 1533-position model. The record is from RNAcentral.